RNAcentral lists this non-coding RNA (29 nucleotides) under Cricetulus griseus (Chinese hamster). Lineage: Eukaryota; Metazoa; Chordata; Mammalia; Rodentia; Cricetidae. The record is from RNAcentral.
AGUAAGAUACAGAGCCACCAGAAGAUGGA